RNAcentral lists this ribosomal RNA (567 nucleotides) under Hydra hymanae. RNAcentral's name for it is "partial 16S ribosomal RNA". It matches the Rfam family "Bacterial large subunit ribosomal RNA", at positions 1835 to 2594 of the family's 2925-position model. The record is from RNAcentral. Lineage: Eukaryota; Metazoa; Cnidaria; Hydrozoa; Anthoathecata; Hydridae.
CCUUUAUAAUAUAAAAGGUGUAACCUGCCCAAUGAUAUAAAAAUAAUUAUAAACGAUUUAAGUAUUAUUUAAUGGAUGCAGUAACUCUGACUGUAAUAAAGUAGCAUAAUAAAUUGCCAUUUAAUUGAUGGAUGGAAUGAAUGGUUAAACGAAUUUUUCACUGUCUUAGAAAAAAUUUUUUAAAAUUGAAAUAAUAGUUAAGAUGCUAUUUAAAAUUGUAAGACGAAGAGACCCUAUAGAGCUUUACUAUAAAUUUUCUUUAAUAAUAACUAGAAAAUUUGGUAGUUUAGUUGGGGCGACUGUUUUUUAAAAAUAACAAAAAUAAGCAAUGUAAUAAUAUUAUUUAUUGUAUAAUUAAAUUAUUUAACAAUUACUAUAGUAGGCUAUAUGACCCGUUAUUAUAUAAAAUAAUAAAUAACGAUUAAUUAAUAAAAGCUACCUUAGGGAUAACAGGAUAAUUUUAUUUUAGAGUUCUUAUCAAAAAUAAAGUUUGUCACCUCUAUGUUGAAUUAAGAUAUCCUAAUAAUGCAGUAGUUAUUGAGGGUAGGUCUGUUCGACCUUUAAAAU